Molecule: ribosomal RNA, 776 nt
Filed under: uncultured bacterium
Lineage: Bacteria
Description: bacterial SSU rRNA
Rfam family: Bacterial small subunit ribosomal RNA
Source: RNAcentral
AAGCUUGCUUUUGAUGGGCGUCGACCGGCGCACGGGUGAGUAACGCGUAUCCAACCUGCCCACCACUUGGGGAUAACCUUGCGAAAGUAAGACUAAUACCCAAUGACGUCUCUAGAAGACAUCUGAAAGAGAUUAAAGAUUUAUCGGUGAUGGAUGGGGAUGCGUCUGAUUAGCUUGUUGGCGGGGUAACGGCCCACCAAGGCAACGAUCAGUAGGGGUUCUGAGAGGAAGGUCCCCCACAUUGGAACUGAGACACGGUCCAAACUCCUACGGGAGGCAGCAGUGAGGAAUAUUGGUCAAUGGACGAGAGUCUGAACCAGCCAAGUAGCGUGCAGGAUGACGGCCCUAUGGGUUGUAAACUGCUUUUAUAAGGGAAUAAAGUGAGUCUCGUGAGACUUUUUGCAUGUACCUUAUGAAUAAGGACCGGCUAAUUCCGUGCCAGCAGCCGCGGUAAUACGGAAGGUCCGGGCGUUAUCCGGAUUUAUUGGGUUUAAAGGGAGCGUAGGCCGGAGAUUAAGCGUGUUGUGAAAUGUAGACGCUCAACGUCUGCACUGCAGCGCGAACUGGUUUCCUUGAGUACGCACAAAGUGGGCGGAAUUCGUGGUGUAGCGGUGAAAUGCUUAGAUAUCACGAAGAACUCCGAUUGCGAAGGCAGCUCACUGGAGCGCAACUGACGCUGAAGCUCGAAAGUGCGGGUAUCGAACAGGAUUAGAUACCCUGGUAGUCCGCACGGUAAACGAUGGAUGCCCGCUGUUGGUCUGAAUAGGUCAGCGGCC